RNAcentral lists this ribosomal RNA (387 nucleotides) under Escherichia coli. RNAcentral describes it as "bacterial SSU rRNA". It matches the Rfam family "Bacterial small subunit ribosomal RNA", at positions 1034 to 1421 of the family's 1533-position model. Lineage: Bacteria; Pseudomonadati; Pseudomonadota; Gammaproteobacteria; Enterobacterales; Enterobacteriaceae. The record is from RNAcentral.
ACAGGUGCUGCAUGGCUGUCGUCAGCUCGUGUUGUGAAAUGUUGGGUUAAGUCCCGCAACGAGCGCAACCCUUAUCCUUUGUUGCCAGCGGUCCGGCCGGGAACUCAAAGGAGACUGCCAGUGAUAAACUGGAGGAAGGUGGGGAUGACGUCAAGUCAUCAUGGCCCUUACGACCAGGGCUACACACGUGCUACAAUGGCGCAUACAAAGAGAAGCGACCUCGCGAGAGCAAGCGGACCUCAUAAAGUGCGUCGUAGUCCGGAUUGGAGUCUGCAACUCGACUCCAUGAAGUCGGAAUCGCUAGUAAUCGUGGAUCAGAAUGCCACGGUGAAUACGUUCCCGGGCCUUGUACACACCGCCCGUCACACCAUGGGAGUGGGUUGCAAA